RNAcentral lists this ribosomal RNA (228 nucleotides) under Staphylococcus aureus. Its description in RNAcentral is "partial 16S ribosomal RNA". It matches the Rfam family "Bacterial small subunit ribosomal RNA", at positions 1307 to 1533 of the family's 1533-position model. Lineage: Bacteria; Bacillati; Bacillota; Bacilli; Caryophanales; Staphylococcaceae. The record is from RNAcentral.
GCAACUCGACUACAUGAAGCUGGAAUCGCUAGUAAUCGUAGAUCAGCAUGCUACGGUGAAUACGUUCCCGGGUCUUGUACACACCGCCCGUCACACCACGAGAGUUUGUAACACCCGAAGCCGGUGGAGUAACCUUUUAGGAGCUAGCCGUCGAAGGUGGGACAAAUGAUUGGGGUGAAGUCGUAACAAGGUAGCCGUAUCGGAAGGUGCGGCUGGAUCACCUCCUUU